RNAcentral lists this non-coding RNA (389 nucleotides) under Pan troglodytes (chimpanzee). The record is from RNAcentral. Lineage: Eukaryota; Metazoa; Chordata; Mammalia; Primates; Hominidae. RNAcentral also lists the same sequence under 1 other name.
GACAGCGGGGGCGUGGGCAGCAGCUCAAACUUCUUCCAGAUGUCCUCCCCCGGGGGGGUCGAGUCGGGGCCGCCGAAGUAGAAGUCAUCUUCGUCCGGGGGCACCCUUUGGAGAAGAACCCCAGCCUGGGGUGGGGACGCACCGGCUCUCCGACAGCUCAAACACAGACAGAUCUUCUAGAGCCGAGGGAAUUUCUUUUCGCAGAAGCCAUUACUCCCCCCGAGAGAAGGCUGCAAAGCUGGGAAGCCCAGGGUGUGCUCCUCCCGCCCUUUUGGACCCCCGGGCUUGCACCGGCUGCACUCUGAGAACCAGCUGCGCGCGGAGCGGUGCAAUGCAGCACCCACCCUGCGAGCCUGGCAAUUGCUUGUCAUUAAAAGAAAAAAAAAUUA